GACGAACGCUGGCGGCGUGCUUAACACAUGCAAGUCGAACGGAAAGGCCCUGCUUUUGUGGGGUGCUCGAGUGGCGAACGGGUUAGUAACACGUGAGUAACCUGCCCUUGACUUUGGGAUAACUUCAGGAAACUGGGGCUAAUACCGGAUAGGAGCUCCUGCUGCAUGGUGGGGGUUGGAAAGUUUCGGCGGUUGGGGAUGGACUCGCGGCUUAUCAGCUUGUUGGUGGGGUAGUGGCUUACCAAGGCUUUGACGGGUAGCCGGGCUGAGAGGGUGACCGGGCCAAAUAGGACGGGGAUGAGGCCCAGACCGGUAAGGGAGGGAAGGGGGGGGAAAAGUGUAAAAUGGGGGGGAGGCAGGAGGGAGCAAGGCGGGUGGGGGAUGAAGGGCUUCGGGUUGGAAACCGACUUCGGCUGGGAAGGAACGUGGGUGACGGUAAAGGGAAAAGAAGCACCGGCUAACUACGUG
Molecule: ribosomal RNA, 468 nt
Filed under: uncultured bacterium
Lineage: Bacteria
Description: partial 16S ribosomal RNA
Rfam family: Bacterial small subunit ribosomal RNA
Source: RNAcentral